AGUGAACGCUGGCGGUAGGCCUAACACAUGCAAGUCGAACGGCAGCACAGUAAGAGCUUGCUCUUACGGGUGGCGAGUGGCGGACGGGUGAGGAAUACAUCGGAAUCUACUUUUUCGUGGGGGAUAACGUAGGGAAACUUACGCUAAUACCGCAUACGACCUACGGGUGAAAGCAGGGGAUCUUCGGACCUUGCGCGAUUGAAUGAGCCGAUGUCGGAUUAGCUAGUUGGCGGGGUAAAGGCCCACCAAGUCGACGAUCCGUAGCUGGUCUGAGCGGAUGAUCGGCCACCCUAGAACUUGGACACGGUCCAGACUCCUACGGGAGGCAGCAGUGGGGAAUAUUGGACAAUGGGCGCAAGCCUGAUCCAGCCAUACCGCGUGGGUGAAGAAGGCCUUCGGGUUGUAAAGCCCUUCUGUUGGGAAAGAAAAGCAGCAGGUUAAUACCCCGCUGUUCUGACGGUACCCAAAGAAUAAGCACCGGCUAACUUCGUG
Molecule: ribosomal RNA, 492 nt
Filed under: uncultured bacterium
Lineage: Bacteria
Description: partial 16S ribosomal RNA
Rfam family: Bacterial small subunit ribosomal RNA
Source: RNAcentral